GUGGUGGUGGGCACCUGUAGCCCCAGCUACUCAGCAGGCUGAGGCCCAAGAAUAGCAUGAACCCGGGAGGCAGAGCUUGCAGUGAGCCGAGAUUGCACCACUGCAUUCCAGCCUGGGUGACAGAGCAAGACUCGUCUCAAAAAAAAAAUAAAACCCCACAGCCAAAAGAAAAAACAAAAGAGAGAGAGAAGAAGGGCAGAGAGAAAAAGGGAGGGAGAAAAGGAGGAGGAAGAAUGAAAGUUGAAGCAAAUAUGGCAUUAUGUUCAUCACUGUUGAAUCUAGGAAUAGGUAUUUUCUCUAGUUUUGUGAAUGUUUGAAUAUUUUCAUAAUAAAACAGGGUUUCAAAAGGCUUUCUGGGAAAGUAAAUGUAAAGGAGUUGAUAAAAAUAAUGUCAAACAAUCUUUGCAUUCAUUUCAUUCCUGUAGCUUUUCCCAGGCUUCUGCGAGCCAGCCCCUGAAGGCUUCAUUGGCCACAGACAUCUGAACCAACUAAGAGCAGGAAUUCCCCUGAGGCAAGCUGUUCCAAUUUUCCUUGCUUUGGAAAAUUCUGUCUUGUCUCCAACAAGCUCCAAAUCCAGGCCCAGGACAGCCUCCAACCUGGGCAGCAGAAGUCUUCUGUAUAGUCUGAUCUCAAUCAGUAGGACGCUAUGGCUUGCAUUUGUGCCUGUAUCGGUUAGGCUUAACCAAGUGGGUUAAAUAAGAUGGCUUUCUCAUACAAACGGCCAGGGAGAGUGUGCCUGAGAAUGGAAAGAACAAGGAGGAGAAUAAGGCAAAGAGAUGGAGAGACUGCAUCCUGAUGACAUCUUUAGAGCCCGUGGAGCUAGGCAUGCCAGAAACUGGAAGGUUAAACUACAUGAACCAAUAAAUAUACC
Molecule: long non-coding RNA, 871 nt
Filed under: Homo sapiens (human)
Lineage: Eukaryota; Metazoa; Chordata; Mammalia; Primates; Hominidae
Description: HSALNT0120865
Source: RNAcentral